UACCAGCACCCCGAGCGGUCGGGACGAUUAUUGGGCCUAAAGCAUCCGUAGCCGGUUCUACAAGUCUUCCGUUAAAUCCACCUGCUCAACAGAUGGGCUGCGGAGGAUACUAUAGAGCUAGGAGGCGGGAGAGGCAAGCGGUACUUAGUGGGUAGGGGUAAAAUCCGUUGAUCCAUUGAAGACCACCAGUGGCGAAGGCGGCUUGCCAGAACGCACUCGACGGUGAGGGAUGAAAGCUGGGGGAGCAAACCGG
RNAcentral lists this ribosomal RNA (253 nucleotides) under uncultured bacterium. Its description in RNAcentral is "partial 16S ribosomal RNA". It matches the Rfam family "Archaeal small subunit ribosomal RNA", at positions 474 to 727 of the family's 1478-position model. The record is from RNAcentral.